UUUGGUGCUGAUGCCAUUUUCAGCCUCAGCACGCCUGCACCCAGGCGCUCAUUAAAACAGCAUGUUGCUCCCCACUGCCUCGUGUUGUCUGUUGGCGCGCUGUCGGGGUUCGAACCGAUACAAGAACCUUCCACCUACCUGGUGCUUUGGCCUCAUCUAUAAGCAGCUUUUCCACUGUCCUGAAACAAGAUAGAGAAUCUGAGCGGCCAGUCAUCUGCCCUAAGUGCUGCCGCCGAAGACUGAAUGUCCUGGAAAGUUUGCUGUCACAUCUCCAUUAUGACAAAAGCAUUGUGCCGAACAGAUGAAAAAAUGCAUUGUCAACGGAAUCUUUUAUGUUUGUUUGUCUUCCUUUAAGCAACAUUGCCUUACUUGUUAUAAAAGAUAAAUAAAUAUUUGUUCAUUUCAA
RNAcentral lists this long non-coding RNA (406 nucleotides) under Homo sapiens (human). Its description in RNAcentral is "HSALNT0335008". Lineage: Eukaryota; Metazoa; Chordata; Mammalia; Primates; Hominidae. The record is from RNAcentral.